Molecule: long non-coding RNA, 951 nt
Filed under: Jatropha curcas
Lineage: Eukaryota; Viridiplantae; Streptophyta; Magnoliopsida; Malpighiales; Euphorbiaceae
Description: long non-coding RNA (JCUR_LNC001623)
Source: RNAcentral
UAUUUGAGCAACAUGUUUUCUUCCUCUUCCUAUCCAUCUAACGUGAACUUCUUUCUUCUUCUCCUCCAUUUUAACUUGAGCCUCUCUUUCUCUUCUCUUUGUUUUCUUCACUUAUACUCACUAAAUCCACCAAUUUGACACCAUUCAACUUGAUCUAAUUAAUCAAUCUUUGAGAUUAAAGCUUGAGAAAUGAUAUUUGGUGAAUAAUUUCAAGUAAUUUGGAGGACAAAGGGUGGAUAACUUCCUACCAAAGACAAGGGAAAACUAAGGCAUCAAGAGUCUUAUUUAAGCUUGUUAGAGCUUAUGUUUAAGGUAAGUGUUCAUAAAUCCUCUUACCUUGUUUAAAUUUUUGAUUUUGUGAAGUUUAUACUAUUUUGUGAAAAUUGGAAAUUUUAUAUGAAAUAAUUUGAUUAUUGAAUUUUGGUGGUAUACAUGUGUUCUUGGGAGAUUUCUAAGCAUGCUUAUAUGUUGAAUUGAUGAGGAAAACAUUUUCUUCUUCAUCCUCCAAGAGUGGCAGAACCUAUUGAUGAAUAAGGCCUUAAGUUUUCUUGUUAUUCUUUGAGGAUUUGUGAUCUUAAGAUGAUAUUUGAUGAGUAUUGAGUAUGUGGUAGAAAUCUCUACCUUGUAUAUGAUUUAAGUAAGCUGAAAUUAGGAAAAAGUGUUAUUGGGUGUGAUUAAGGACUAUUUUUCGAUCCCUUGCAUUUCCCAUUAGUGUCUGAGUCCUUCAUGAAAGUUGUAGGUCUGCUCCUUAGCUUUCCAACCCAUCCUCUUGCGUCCAAUUUGGAUAUAUAUAGCUCAACUUAUGGCUGAAACACCCAAACUGACUCUGUUAUGACGGGCUACUUGCAUCAUUGAAUUGAGUGCCCCUUUUGACCACCAUAAUGAUAAGAUUAUGUUCUGAGUUCUUCAUGAGAGUUGUUGCCCUGUGUCUUGAGACUUCUCUGGUUUUGG